RNAcentral lists this ribosomal RNA (492 nucleotides) under uncultured bacterium. RNAcentral's name for it is "partial 16S ribosomal RNA". It matches the Rfam family "Bacterial small subunit ribosomal RNA", at positions 29 to 507 of the family's 1533-position model. The record is from RNAcentral.
AGUGAACGCUGGCGGUAGGCCCAACACAUGCAAGUCGAACGGCAGCACAGUAAGAGCUUGCUCUUACGGGUGGCGAGUGGCGGACGGGUGAGGAAUACAUCGGAAUCUACUUUUUCGUGGGGGAUAACGUAGGGAAACUUACGCUAAUACCGCAUACGACCUACGGGUGAAAGCAGGGGAUCUUCGGACCUUGCGCGAUUGAAUGAGCCGAUGUCGGAUUAGCUAGUUGGCGGGGUAAAGGCCCACCAAGGCGACGAUCCGUAGCUGGUCUGAGAGGAUGAUCAGCCACACUGGAACUGAGACACGGUCCAGACUCCUACGGGAGGCAGCAGUGGGGAAUAUUGGACAAUGGGCGCAAGCCUGGUCCAGCCAUACCGCGUGGGUGAAGAAGGCCUUCGGGUUGUAAAGCCCUUUUGUUGGGAAAGAAAAGCAGCAGGUUAAUACCCCGCUGUUCUGACGGUACCCAAAGAAUAAGCACCGGCUAACUUCGUG